CCACCUGGCUGUAAAGUUUUAUGUAGUCAAACUGUUUCACAGUGAGAACAAUCAUAGUGUGAUCUUAAAUGGGGCAAGAGAGAUAAGUCUAAUUGCUCAUUUGAGCAGACUCUUAUAGAUUUCUUGAAGAAGAAGAAAUAAAACCUGCAGGUAUGGCAGAGAGAACAAAGCGUAGGAAAAAAAAUAUCAUUUGUUGCAAUAUUUAUUUUGCCAUCCAGCAUAUAAAUACUACAUGAGUUAGGGAGAGCACUACACUUCUCUUAGCCAUGGGAUCUAGCAAGCAGUGCUGUCUGUUGGUUUUGGGGUUUUGCAGUUCCCAGAGCUGUUACAUCAUUUAAUACCAUGUUGUUAGUUGUCACACCUGGUUACCGUGGUUUACAUCAGCUACGUCGUGUGAUGUCUCAUGGAAAUUGGCAGCAGCUGGGGAAAUGUUAAAUAAGUGCAGGCAAACCCUGCACUGGCCAUUUUUUUCAGUCUCUGGGGCUGGAGGUUCCCGAGCAGGGGAGUCUCUGGGGGCUCGCCUGGGGCAGGCACUGCCAGCAUGGGCUGGGCUCUUCCCGUGGUGGCUGGGGACCGGUGCAUGGUGCCUGGUGGCCAGCAGUGUCCAGACCUCGGGCCCGGGGUAGGAAGAGUCCUGCUGUACUGCCAGCAUCAGCAGGAAGCGAGCUGGUUUGUUCCUGUACCGCAGCAGUCUGGUUCGGGCAAUGUGUUUCCCCCCGUGGUGCAGUGGCUGCAGAACCGCGCUGACAUCUCCGUCCUGCUCUCCAUGUCCUCGCGCAGCUCAACAGCUCGUGCUCUCGCCCUCGCUGCAAAAGACUGCUUCGUCUUUUGUCUCCUCCCGAGGAGCAGGCACCGUGUCCAGCUGGCCAGUCCUCUGGAGCAGAGGGGCAAGGAUGGAGUGGCAGUGCUGUUUCCUGUGCUGUACCUGCCACAGCCUGAUGUAGGGUGA
Molecule: long non-coding RNA, 949 nt
Filed under: Anser cygnoides (Swan goose)
Lineage: Eukaryota; Metazoa; Chordata; Aves; Anseriformes; Anatidae
Description: lncRNA (ENSACDG00005019170.1)
Source: RNAcentral